UAAUACGUAGGUGGCGAGCGUUAUCCGGAUUUAUUGGGUUUAAAGGGUGCGUAGGCGGCUGAUUAAGUCAGCGGUGAAAGGUAGCAGCUUAACUGUUUUACAUGCCGUUGAUACUGGUUAGCUUGAGUUAACAGAAGGCAGAUAGAAUUUCUGGUGUAGCGGUGAAAUGCUUAGAUACCAGGAGGAAUACCGAUUGCGAAGGCAGUCUGCUGCAGUUACACUGACGCUGAGGCACGAAAGUGCGGGGAUCAAACAGGAUUAGAUACCCUGGUAGUCCGCACAGUAAACGAUGAUUACUAGUUGUUGGCGCAAGUCAGUGACCAAGGGAAACCGAUAAGUAAUCCACCUGGGGAGUACGCCGGCAACGGUG
This 370-nucleotide ribosomal RNA is filed under the name uncultured bacterium. RNAcentral's name for it is "bacterial SSU rRNA". It matches the Rfam family "Bacterial small subunit ribosomal RNA", at positions 521 to 896 of the family's 1533-position model. The record is from RNAcentral.